Long non-coding RNA from Chelonia mydas (Green sea turtle), 377 nucleotides. RefSeq lists it as uncharacterized. The record is from RefSeq and is a predicted model, not a curated record. Lineage: Eukaryota; Metazoa; Chordata; Testudines; Cheloniidae. The transcript is spliced from 3 exons.
CUGUUGUACAGUAUGUAACGUAUCACUUAAAUCAGCCUCUGUACCAGAUAUUCAGAGGAUGGCUAAUGUAAUGCCAAUUUUAAGAAAAGGAUUCAGAGCUUAUCCUGGUAAUUACAGGCUAGUAAGCCUAACAUCAGUGCCAAGCAAACUGGUCAAAACUACAGUAAAGAACAGAAUUAUCACAGAUGAACACAACAGGUUGGAAAAAGUCAACAUGGCUUUGUAAAGGGAAAUUAUGCCUCACCAAUCUAUUAGACUUCUUUGAGGGAAUCAACAAGCAUCUGGACAAGGGUGAUCCAGUGGAUAUAAUGUACUUGGACUUUCAGUAAGCCUUUGACAAGGUUCUACACCAAAGGCUCUUAAACAAAGUAAUCAGU